RNAcentral lists this ribosomal RNA (429 nucleotides) under Pseudomonadota bacterium. Its description in RNAcentral is "Proteobacteria bacterium partial 16S ribosomal RNA". It matches the Rfam family "Bacterial small subunit ribosomal RNA", at positions 355 to 776 of the family's 1533-position model. The record is from RNAcentral. Lineage: Bacteria; Pseudomonadati; Pseudomonadota.
UGGGGAAUAUUGGACAAUGGGCGAAAGCAUGAUCCAGCCAUGCCGCGUGUGUGAAGAAGGUCUUCGGAUUGUAAAGCACUUUAAGUUGGGAGGAAGGGCAGUAAGCGAAUACCUUGCUGUUUUGACGUUACCGACAGAAUAAGCACCGGCUAACUCUGUGCCAGCAGCCGCGGUAAUACAGAGGGUGCAAGCGUUAAUCGGAAUUACUGGGCGUAAAGCGCGCGUAGGUGGUUCGUUAAGUUGAAUGUGAAAGCCCCGGGCUCAACCUGGGAACUGCAUCCAAAACUGGCGAGCUAGAGUAGGGCAGAGGGUGGUGGAAUUUCCUGUGUAGCGGUGAAAUGCGUAGAUAUAGGAAGGAACACCAGUGGCGACGGCGACCACCUGGGCUCAUACUGACACUGAUGUGCGAAAGCGUGGGGAGCAAACAGG